UACGGGGGGAGCAAGCGUUGUUCGGAUUUACUGGGCGUAAAGGGCGCGUAGGCGGCCACCGCAAGUCGACUGUGAAAUCUCCGGGCUUAACUCGGAAAGGUCAGCCGAUACUGCGGGGCUAGAGUGCAGAAGGGGCAACUGGAAUUCUCGGUGUAGCGGUGAAAUGCGUAGAUAUCGAGAGGAACACCUGCGGCGAAGGCGGGUUGCUGGGGCUGACACUGACGCUGAUGUGCGAAAAGCUAGGGGGAGCGAACGGG
This 257-nucleotide ribosomal RNA is filed under the name uncultured bacterium. Its description in RNAcentral is "partial 16S ribosomal RNA". It matches the Rfam family "Bacterial small subunit ribosomal RNA", at positions 524 to 776 of the family's 1533-position model. The record is from RNAcentral.